Molecule: non-coding RNA, 86 nt
Organism: Mycena sp. CBHHK59/15
Lineage: Eukaryota; Fungi; Basidiomycota; Agaricomycetes; Agaricales; Mycenaceae
Source: the annotation of a GenBank genome assembly
GGCCUUGUAGCUGAGAGGAUAACGGCGUAAGUAUUAUGUCGGAUGACAUAAGCUGGUAAUCCUGGGUUCGAAUCCCAGCAUGACCU